GAUGAACGCUGGCGGCGUGCCUAAUACAUGCAAGUCGAGCGAACAGACGAGGAGCUUGCUCCUCUGACGUUAGCGGCGGACGGGUGAGUAACACGUGGAUAACCUACCUAUAAGACUGGGAUAACUUCGGGAAACCGGAGCUAAUACCGGAUAAUAUAUUGAACCGCAUGGUUCAAUAGUGAAAGACGGUUUUGCUGUCACUUAUAGAUGGAUCCGCGCCGCAUUAGCUAGUUGGUAAGGUAACGGCUUACCAAGGCAACGAUGCGUAGCCGACCUGAGAGGGUGAUCGGCCACACUGGAACUGAGACACGGUCCAGAUUCCUACGGGAGGCAGCAGUAGGGAAUCUUCCGCAAUGGGCGAAAGCCUGACGGAGCAACGCCGCGUGAGUGAUGAAGGUCUUCGGAUCGUAAAACUCUGUUAUUAGGGAAGAACAAAUGUGUAAGUAACUAUGCACGUCUUGACGGUACCUAAUCAGAAAGCCACGGCUAACUACGU
Molecule: ribosomal RNA, 496 nt
Filed under: uncultured bacterium
Lineage: Bacteria
Description: partial 16S ribosomal RNA
Rfam family: Bacterial small subunit ribosomal RNA
Source: RNAcentral